UAGGUUCAGCUUCUACACCAUCAUCUUAAUAAUCAAAUUCGCAAUUAGCAGAUGAAUUGGGAUUGGAUCAACAGAAAUCAAGAAUCUAAAAAUAUAAAAAUGAUGCACAGCAGCAGCUUGUUCAAUAAUAAUUCAUUCCCUCAAGUUACCAGCUAAUGCUAGCGGUAGCUAGCUAGCUUGGUGAGCAGAAUGCUGAAUAAGGCAUUUCUAGGUGACCAAAAUGUCCCAAUUAACUUUAAUGAAUUGAAAACACGCAG
Long non-coding RNA from Sander lucioperca (pikeperch), 257 nucleotides. RefSeq lists it as uncharacterized. NCBI's taxonomy places the organism in Eukaryota, Metazoa, Chordata, Actinopteri, Perciformes, Percidae. The transcript is spliced from 3 exons. The record is from RefSeq and is a predicted model, not a curated record.